GGGCCCGCACAAGCGGUGGAGCAUGUGGAUUAAUUCGACGCAACGCGCAGAACCUUACCUAGCCUUGACAUGUUAGCGUAUGGUCCCCAAAAGGACCGGACCUUCGGGAACGCUUACACAGGUGCUGCAUGGCUGUCGUCAGCUCGUGUCGUGAGAUGUUGGUUAAGUCCCGCAACGAGCGCAACCCCUAUCCUUAGUUACCAGCGGUUCGGCCGGGCACUCUAGGGAAACUGCCGGUGUUAAGCCGGAGGAAGGUGGGGAUGACGUCAAGUCCUCAUGGCCCUUACGGCUAGGGCUUCACACGUGCUACAAUGGUUGGUACAGAGAGCUGCAAGACCGCGAGGUG
RNAcentral lists this ribosomal RNA (346 nucleotides) under uncultured bacterium. Its description in RNAcentral is "bacterial SSU rRNA". It matches the Rfam family "Bacterial small subunit ribosomal RNA", at positions 917 to 1264 of the family's 1533-position model. The record is from RNAcentral.